Molecule: long non-coding RNA, 3960 nt
Filed under: Gossypium barbadense (sea-island cotton)
Lineage: Eukaryota; Viridiplantae; Streptophyta; Magnoliopsida; Malvales; Malvaceae
Description: long non-coding RNA (GBAR_LNC016096)
Source: RNAcentral
UUUCUACGGCUUCUACAUCACUAAACUGAUGAUCACAUUGGAUACUACCUUUUCUUUUCUUUUUGACUUAAUAGUAUUAAUGGUUUUCGAGUUUGGCAAACAUUUUUUUUCAAAAUUGGGUAGGAUUCGAUGGCCAGAUUGAUACAAUCUUUGUACGGCCGAAACGCUUCCCUACCGUUAAUCAAGCAACCAAACUUCACUUAAUCCAAGGAAAAGAAGAAAAGCAAAAAGUAAAAGCCAAAAGAAAAAUUAUUCAAUUGAUUGGUCAAACACUAACGUUGACAAUAAAGCUUCUUUUUUUUUUUAACUCUCUACCAUUGAUCUUUUAUUCCACCCCUUCCUUACAGCUUUUUGUUGUUGUUGUUUUCUAAAACAGAACCUCAUAAUAUCAGACAUAUUGGGACUCUGAAAAUUCAACCUUCAGGGAGAAAAAAUCCUUCUUGUUUCCAUUAUGUUUAUUUUGUUAUAGAUGGAGGCAUCGGUGCUUGAGUUGUGAAUGCAUAAGCAUGAACCAUAAAGUUCAAUCAAGAUAUGAGGAGAAUCUUCUUUUUCCUUUAUCUUUGCUUUUCUGUUUUUCCUUUGUUGAUGGCGCCAAACGUAGUCUUAAAGUAUAUUAGAUACAUCUGGUGACCAACAUUCAAUUAUAAUAAAGAGUAUAGAUAGAUACAUCAAUACUAUCCAGCCCUCUUUCAUGAUGAUGUUGCAAGUUUUGCACUCCACCCCCAUAUUAUUAUGAAGAGGAGAAAUUCCUGUUAGUUGAGCUUUAUUUUCUAAGAAAUGACUUCUAACAUUAAUAAAUUUGAAUCAUGAUAUAUUUAUAGCUAUUUCUCUUACUCUCUCGUAUUAUAGCUUUCUUUAUAUGCUAAAACAGGAGAUGAGUAGGAAGAAACAAUUUUUGUUAAAAGACGUGAAGUUGUCUUAAGAUUGACAAGGCAGUUAGAUGCAUUUAAAUUGGUAUUUAAGGAUAUGUCUGUAUAUAACUAGAACUAAUUAAGAUUACAAUACACUGCAAAAUGAUUCCACCUUUUUUUUUGGGGGGUUCUCUCUUUUAUAUGAUCAAAUACAAUGUUGAUAUGAACAAGGUUUUGCAGUUGUAGAAAAUCGUGGAGGACUUUUUUUUUUACAAAAAAGAAAGAUAAAAUUCAUAAAAAAUGUGAAGUUAAGCAUAUUUAGCGACGGGUGGGGUAUGGGGUGGUUUGCUAACAUGGAAUGCGCAUGGCAGAUUGGCACUUUAAAGAAGGGAUGGGGCCGAGGGGGCGGGAGUUGUUAAAUCCUCGGGGUAGAAAAAGGUAAGUAAGCGUGUCCCUGGCAUUAGACAAGGAGUAGAGGGGGCAGCACAUGCACAGCAUAACUAUAUCUCUUUAUUUUAUGUCCCACUCCACUCCCCCUCAUCUCUGCCGCAACAUUAAAUACCAUAUGCAUCCUUACUAUUCAUAAUGGUUUUUUGUUGGGUUGAUGUUACAAAAUUACAAUUUUACUAUAGAUGUAUUUAUAAUAUUUAAGAUUUUUUUAAGUAGGAGUUUAAUCUUUGGUGGUGAUGUUGAUUUUAGAUAUAUUCCCCACCCGCAAGUAGAUAUCAUACAUUCUAAUAUAAUUAAAAAUGGUAUAAUUAAAAUAUUUUUAAUAUUUUUAAUAUUAUUUUUAUAUUUUUGAAUUUUUAAAUUUUAAAAAAUUAAUUAAAUGUUGGUGCGUCAUCUACAUGUAUGCAACGGCGAAGCUUAAAAAAUAUUAAUUUUUUUCAUUCGUGAUUUGACAAAAAAAAGUAAGUUUAAAGGCUAAAAAAGCAUAAAUUUAAAUAAAUAGCUAAAAUAAUUUUUUUACAAAGUUAGAGAGCCAAAUAAAUUAUUAUUUUAUUUAAAAAUAUUUUUUUAAUAAAUUAUUAAUUUAGUCACAUAAUCUAAUAUAAUUUAAUUCAAACCCGUUGGUUCCAUCAACAAAUUGAUCUGCAUGAGACUUAAGGGUUAGAAUUUGGUGCGUAACUCUUUUUCCUCCUAAUUUUUACUUUUAAAAAGAAAUUGCAAUACAAUUUUUUUAUUAUAGAAUUCUCCAAUUUUUAUUUAUUUAUUUGAUCAGGAAGCUUUAUUGACACUGCUUUUAUUUUUCCAUCAAUCCAAUUUAAGAGACAAUUCACUUUUUAUAAUUAACAAAAAACAAAAAGAAAAUAAAAGAAAUUACUUUUUCCUUUUUCGUGUUCGAUACAAGAUAGAUGAAAUAUGGAAAAUAAAAUGCAAUGAAAAUAUAUUAUUAGUGAUAUAUCACCUCCAUUAUGUAGGGGAAAGAAAUAAAAAUAAUAUUAAUUUAUGAUACUUUCAUAAUGUGGUUAAAAAUAAUUAUCUAGUAUUUUUUUGUAAAAAAAAAGGAAAGUUGAUAUCUAUGCUACUAAUGAAGUUUCUUAGUGAGUUUGUUACUAAUCAUAUUCGAAUUUUAAAAAUUGUGAAUUUUUAAAAAAUAAGUUAUUUAUAUAACUAGUAAUAUACUAUUUUGACUCUUUUUUUAUCCGAGUUAAUGUUAGUUAUCUCGUGAUACCAAUUCAAUAAAACACUUUAUUUAUAUUAAAUUAAUAUAGGUGAGAAGUAAAAUUAUUUAACAAAUAUAUUCUUAAAAAUACUAAAGGAGGUUUUGGUUGAAUAGCAAAAUAUAAAUAUUACAAAUUAUAAAGAUGUAGGUUCAAUAUUUUUACUAUUUUUCUAUAUAAAAUGAUAACCUUAUAAAAGUAGUUUGUGGUUGAUGGACUAAUUUUUUAAAAAGAAUUAAUAUUAGUAAAGAUAUAUAUGGUACUAAACAUAAGGAAAUAGGGGAAAACGUAUCAUAUUUGUAGUGGGAGAAUGGGAUCAUUACAAGGAAAAAUGAAAUAUAUAUCAUUAACAACAAACAUAAAAGAAAGCGUCUUUUGAUAAAGUUGUUAUUGGUGUAAUGUGAAGGGACCACAAUCAUCACCAUUCACCACUUGCUCCUAAUUGAGUUGAAAUCUUUUUACAACAUAGAAAACUAGAACAUCUCCCUUUCUUGCUUCCUAUAUAUAGAUUUUGUAUCAUCGCAAUUCCACAUCACACACGCAAGCAAAGCAAAGCAUUAGCAACCAUAGCCAUGGCUUCCUCACCAAAACUCUUCUCUAUGUCUAUCCUCUUCCUUUUUGCCCUCUUCUCCAUGCAAAUCCAUGCUAGAGAGUACUUCAGCAAAUUCCCAAGAGUUAACACCAAUGAGAAAGAGACAACAACCAGAGAGCAAGAGCACGAGACCUUCGUUCCCCAGACCACCCAAAAGCCAGAAGAGCAAGAGCCAAGGUUCAUCCCUGAAACCCAAAAUGGUUAUGGCCUUUACGGCCACGAGUCAGGCUCAGGCUCAAGCCGGCCCAGUUUCACCACCAAAGAAACCUAUGAACCCUAUGUCACCCCUGUUAGAUUCCACCCUGAUGAACCCUAUAACAGCAUCCCCGAAUCCUCCAACAAUAAAGACACUUACUACUACAACAAGAAUGCCUACAAGUCCACUAAGCAGCAAAACUUGGGCGAGGCCAUUUUCACCGAGAAAGGAUGGAGCACCAAGGAAAACCAGAACAACAACUACUACAACGGCAACAUUAAUGGCGAGAAGCAAGGCAUGAGCGAUACUAGGUACUUGGAGAAUGGAAAGUACUACUAUGACGUCAAGAGUGAGAACAGCUAUUAUCCAAACCAGCUCGACAACUCAAGAGGAGUUGCUUCCAGGAACGAGUUCGAUGAGAAUCGUUACAACAACAUGGGAAGGUACCACCAGAACCAAGAGGAGUUCGAGGAAAGCGAGGAAGAGUUCGAACCCUGAUCACCUGUCGUACAGUAUUUCUACAUUUGAUGUGUGAUUUGUGAAGAACAUCAAACAAAACAAGCACUGGCUUUAAUAUGAUGAUAAGUAUUAUGGUAAUUAAUUAAUUGGCAAAAACAACAAUGAAGCUAAAAUUUUAUUUAUUGAGCCUUGCGGUUA